CCCUUAGGGCCUGACACUGCCUAGUUUGGAGACAAGACCACGGAGCAGCCUUGCCAAGGUGGCAGUGCCAAGGGAAGCUUGGUGGGCCAGGGGACAAGUAGGCAGACAGUAAGCUGAGCUCGCCAGCAUGUGUCUGUGAAAACAGGGUCCUGUUAUGAACCCCUUGUUCUAUUAGCUCCAACUCUUGAGCUCCCAAGUGCCUCAUUUAGCCCCACACGAAGCUCACUGGAGGGGAGGAGCCAUGGGAGGCUCUCAGGAGAGGAGUGUGGACUGAAGAUGCGCGCUGAUGAGAACCAGAGAGCCCCGUCAGGCCUCUAAGGCCUGGUUCUGCUGUGCCAACCGGAGUCCCAGAGAGCCAUGUCACUGAGCAGGAAACAGGGCUUCUCCAGCCCCACACCCAGGUGAGAAUCUGGAAAAUGCUCUCACAGGGCAGAUCACUGCAACGCUUCAGUGGGCUUUGGCUAGCUGCAGAACCUUAGGCUUCCUGGAACCAAAUAAACAUGUGGCCCAGGAUAUCA
This 518-nucleotide long non-coding RNA is filed under the name Mus spicilegus (steppe mouse). RNAcentral describes it as "lncRNA (ENSMSIG00000021470.1)". The record is from RNAcentral. Lineage: Eukaryota; Metazoa; Chordata; Mammalia; Rodentia; Muridae.